GUAACAUCAAGAGUGGUGGAGGGACAGGCCCUAGGAAACCCGGCAACCAGCGCAGCAGUGCAUGGUGCUAAUUCCUGCAAGAGUAUCUUGAGAGAUGUAGU
Molecule: non-coding RNA, 101 nt
Filed under: Selenihalanaerobacter shriftii
Lineage: Bacteria; Bacillati; Bacillota; Clostridia; Halanaerobiales; Halobacteroidaceae
Description: SAM-I sequence
Rfam family: SAM riboswitch aptamer (S box leader)
About the family: The SAM riboswitch is found upstream of a number of genes which code for proteins involved in methionine or cysteine biosynthesis in Gram-positive bacteria. The SAM riboswitch acts at the level of transcription termination control. The predicted structure consists of a complex stem-loop region followed by a single stem loop terminator region.
Source: Rfam by way of RNAcentral